AACUCCUCGCGACUUGGCCGGGCACAAGGGGAAGCUCUCAGCUCUGCGGGGCCGUGCUGGGGUGCUCCCUGCUGACGGGGACAGCGUGUCACGUUUGCAAGCCUCGCAGACUUAUUUUCAUUGGCCUGAAGAGUAAAUCUGGCCAUUUCUAAGCUGAAACAAUUUUCUGCUGGGAAUUGAGGCGAGGCUCUUCUCCGCUGUCGCACCUCCAGCAUGGUCCCGGCCCAGGAGGACCCGCUCCUCGCCCUGCAGCACUGAAGUAAGUUUGUUCCCUUGAGACCGCUUUUCCUUCCCCAUAUGCUCACC
This is a long non-coding RNA of Oxyura jamaicensis (ruddy duck), 306 nucleotides long. RefSeq lists it as uncharacterized. The record is from RefSeq and is a predicted model, not a curated record. The transcript is spliced from 3 exons. Lineage: Eukaryota; Metazoa; Chordata; Aves; Anseriformes; Anatidae.